CAAUAGCGUAUAUUAAAGUUGUUGCGGUUAAAAAGCUCGUAGUUGGAUUUCUGCUGAGGACGAUCGGUCCGCCCACUGGGUGAGUAUCUGGCUCGGCCUUGGCAUCUUCUUGGAGAACGUUGCUGCACUUGACUGUGUAGUGCGGUAUCCAGGACUUUUACUUUGAGGAAAUUAGAGUGUUUCAAGCAGGCAUACGCCUUGAAUACAUUAGCAUGGAAUAAUAAGAUAGGACCUCGGUUCUAUUUUGUUGGUUUCUAGAGCUGAGGUAAUGAUUAAUAGGGAUAGUUGGGGGCAUUCGUAUUUAACUGUCAGAGGUGAAAUUCUUGGAUUUGUUAAAGACGGACUAUUGCGAAAACAUUUGCCAAGGAUGUUUUCAUUGA
This 380-nucleotide ribosomal RNA is filed under the name uncultured eukaryote. RNAcentral describes it as "partial 18S ribosomal RNA". It matches the Rfam family "Eukaryotic small subunit ribosomal RNA", at positions 592 to 976 of the family's 1831-position model. The record is from RNAcentral.